Molecule: long non-coding RNA, 2741 nt
Organism: Rosa chinensis
Lineage: Eukaryota; Viridiplantae; Streptophyta; Magnoliopsida; Rosales; Rosaceae
Exons: 5
Source: RefSeq, a predicted model, not a curated record
GAAACCCCUGAGUCUCUCUUCCACACCCCCCCCCCCCCCCCCCCCAAAAAAAAAAAAAAAAAACGAAAUCCCUCUCACCAUCACAGUCUCUCGAUCUCCUUGCUUCUAUUCCCCUGAAAUCCAAAUCCUCUUCAGCGAUGGAGGAGAUAAGAGUGCCCUAGAUCCAUUUUCUCUCUCCUCCAUGCCUUCAAACUAGGGUCAAUUAAAGAGAUGCAGAAGACGAAGCUGUCGGAGACGGCGGAGGCGAAUGCGCUGUGCUGCUGCUAACCUCUUGAUGAUUUGGUGCCGCCGCCGCCGCCGAAGGCGUGAGCUGGUGGGACGACAUCAACGAUUCGACUCAAUGGCAGGACGCCAUCUUCUAUACUCUCUGCGCUGCCUGCGCCCUCGUCUCCUCCGUCGGUCUGUUUUACUGUUAGUGAUGGACAGACGAGGGCUAAAAGCGAUGUUCAACUCACAUCUAAGUUUUUAUGUUAUCUCUGCGAAUAUUCAGAACAUGGCAUUCCAAACAUGCCUGAAAAGUAAGUGAUAACUUCUCUGUAUCUCGGUUUAUUUCUUCUGAAGUAUUGGGUUGAAGAUGAAGAAAUUCAGCUUCUUCAUCUCUCCCAAAUUAACUGCCUUCUUCUUCCUCCGUUGGUGUCUCUGGAAACAAAGUAAUGUUAUUCAUGGUGGUUUCGGAAUAUUCGUCUCCAGGUAACGUAAAAAUAGUUGCUUUGAUUUUAAUGGAAGUGAAAGUUUAGGGCUUUUGAUGGUUUGGGUGAUUAGUUUGGUGGUUGGGGUUUUAUGAAGAGGCUCUGGGUUUUGUGCUUGUUUGGAUUUAAUUCAGAAAUAAAUGAUGGGGUUUUACUGUUAAUUAAUUAGAACUAGGCCUAAUGUUGAAGUUAAUUGUUUGUGUUUAAUCUAGACAUGGGCCUUUGUUCCUGUGCUGAGUAGCUUUAAAUUCUUAGUGUUAUGAACUUGUUAUAGGCUCUACUUUAAGAUCUACGUUUAGAACUCAUUUCGUGAUUUUAAUACCAAUACUUGAUUACUUGGGAAGAAUGUUGUAUAAUAAGGCUCAGAUGCUAGGUUGCAGUAGGAAGUUGUACGUUUGGAUAUUGAAGUUAGAACUUGUAUUCGUUUCUUUUAACAAUCUUUGAUGAAAUUCUUAAUGCACUUAAUUUCCAGUUUUCUCAAAAAUUGCUGUAAACUCUGAUAGAUAUGGCCUACCUAUGCUUUGUUCUGUUUGAUAUAUUGGUGACAAGCUUUUGAUUGGUAUUGUUGUUAGUCUGUUUAAGAUUAAGUUUUGCUGAUGUUUGAAUGCACAGGAGGAAUAUGAUACCCAUGAUCCGACAGGACAUUGUGCCAUGGUUCUGCCUUUUCUGCGAAAGAGGUCGAAAAUUAUUGAAAUUGUGGCAGCACAUGACAUUGUGUUCGCACUUGCGCAGUCUGGUGUUUGUGCAGCGUUUAGCCGAGGUAGUAGCUGUUCUAUUUGGAUUUUCAAUGUUGUAUGGAUUUACUAAAAUAAGUUUUUACUUGGAGAAGUUCAUGGAUGGGAAUAUGAAUAUGUAGAACUUUUGUUGUUAGAUGCAGAAACCAAUCAGAGGAUAUGCUUUCUGAAUGUCAAUCUCGACGAAGUUAUAAGAAGCCUAUUUUAUAAUAAAAACAAUGACUCACUUAUCACAGUUUCAGUUUAUGCUUCAGACAAUUUCAGUUCUUUGAAAUGUAGAAGCAUAAGGAUUAAGUAAGUGAAUACAUCCACCCCUCUGCCCACAACAAACAAACAUAGACACACACAUAAUCCACCAUAAGCAAUAAUGUAUUUAACCCAAUUUACAUCAGUUUAUUAUUGCUUGCUAAAGACACUAUCAAUAUAUUUCAUCAGUUUACAUCAGUUUAUUAUUCCACCAUAUAUUUCCUACUAUUUUUUAUCUGUGAUUUGUUGCCGUGGAUUGGAAUAUUGCAGCUCAAGAAAGCAACCACAAUCUCCUAAAAGCUGAGCUGAGAGGUACACACCAAGAUUGAAAUGGGGGGAAAGGAAUUGUAUUAAAGAUUUCAUCUUUAGUAAUUUUACUAAUAUCCCAUCAGCUAAACUGAGUUUCAGGAAUGUGUGAGCUGUUUUUUUAGUUGGGUAGUAUGAAUGGAAGCUAUAGCAAUGCAAAUGUGAGCUCAAACUCGAGUUUGAAUAGCAGCUCUCAUGAUACCGAGGAUGACCUGACCAUUGCAACUGUUUUGGCAGAAGAGGAAAAGCAGAAAAAUGAUGGCAAGCUGGGGAAAAGACUCUCCCACUUAGAUUUGAUUCCGCACACUCUCAGGGUGAAUGGGGAGAUACCUGACGUGAAUGAUGCUACUCAAGACCAUAAGAGGCUUUCAGAAAGGUUGAGACUGAAGUGUAAAAGUUGGAGCAGCUCAAGUCAAGUACGCUCAAAGAGAUCAUUCUGAAAAAGAAGUUAAAACUGGGGGACAAGCUGCUGGAUGCUCCACUCGACACAUUAGGUGCUGCUGUCUUGGCACUACACUAUGCAAGUAUGAGAGAACUUUAGUGGCAAAAUUUCUCUCAAUCACAUUUGAUUGUAUCAGCUUUUGCUAUCUUUCAAUGUAAUUAGCUAGAAUGCAGUAGCCAUUAAACUAGCUAGAAUGCCUUUUGUACGGUAUGGAUACAAGAAUGUAUAUAUGAUUGACAAAUGCUAGCUCCUUUGGUACAUUAGAUGGUUGAAUUAGAAUAUUUCAAUGCCUAAAUCUUAUAUUAAGCAUUAUUUUUGUGCAAA